This 285-nucleotide long non-coding RNA is filed under the name Lathyrus oleraceus (garden pea). RNAcentral describes it as "Pisum sativum (pea) long non-coding RNA (PSAT_LNC014865)". Lineage: Eukaryota; Viridiplantae; Streptophyta; Magnoliopsida; Fabales; Fabaceae. The record is from RNAcentral.
ACAUUCGUUUUUUGUAGGUGUAAGGAUAAAGAUGGUGACUCAAGGUCUCUUGGAAUGGCAGCCACCUUAUUUCGUUUUUUGGAUGUCGGUGACCCUUUGAUUUUGGUAUGGUGGUCACUGAAUCUUGUUUUGUUUUGUCGGAGACUUUCAUUGUCUCUUUCGAUUUUUGUUUUGAUCCCUAACUUUUGCAUGGACUGCUUUGUUGAAGCUUUAAUCCAUCGGGAUUGCCCCAGUUUUUGCCUAAGUCUCCUUUUUAGGGUGUUUGACUUAGCGGGCUCUUUUUUU